RNAcentral lists this ribosomal RNA (119 nucleotides) under Pteropus alecto (black flying fox). Lineage: Eukaryota; Metazoa; Chordata; Mammalia; Chiroptera; Pteropodidae. The record is from RNAcentral.
AUCUAUGGCCAUGCUACCCGGAACACACCCGAUCCCGUCUGAUCUCGGAAGCUAAGCGGGGUCAGGCCUGGUUAGUACUUGGAUGGGAGACCACCCAGGAAGACCAAGUGCUGUAGGUG